ACUGAACGAAGCAGCGUGAUUUUAUCCCUGACUGUAAAGACUGGGUAACCCGUGGAACCUCCUUCGUGAUCGGGUUAGGGACUUGCAAUGGUUCCCUUUGAAC
This 103-nucleotide ribosomal RNA is filed under the name Ixodes scapularis (black-legged tick). RNAcentral's name for it is "eukaryotic small subunit ribosomal RNA". The record is from RNAcentral. Lineage: Eukaryota; Metazoa; Arthropoda; Arachnida; Ixodida; Ixodidae.